This 499-nucleotide ribosomal RNA is filed under the name uncultured bacterium. Its description in RNAcentral is "partial 16S ribosomal RNA". It matches the Rfam family "Bacterial small subunit ribosomal RNA", at positions 28 to 507 of the family's 1533-position model. The record is from RNAcentral.
GACGAACGCUGGCGGCGUGCUUAACACAUGCAAGUCGAACGGGUCUGCCCUGUUUUUUGCGGGGUGGGUCAGUGGCGAACGGGUGAGUAACACGUGAGUAACCUGCCCCUCACUUCUGGAUAACCGCUUGAAAGGGUGGCUAAUACGGGGUGUUCUGGCUGUGCCGCAUGGUGUGGCUGGGAAAGAUUCACUUUUGUGGUGUUUUGGUGGGGGAUGGGCUCGCGGCCUAUCAGCUUGUUGGUGGGGUGAUGGCCUGCCAAGGCUUUGACGGGUAGCCGGCCUGAGAGGGUGGGCGGUCACACUGGGACUGAGAUACGGCCCAGACUCCUGCGGGAGGCAGCAGUGGGGGGUAUUGCACAAUGGGCGGAAGCCUGAUGCAGCGACGUCGCGUGAGGGAUGGAGGCCUUCGGGUUGUGAACCUCUUUCGCCGGUGAAGAAGGUCCUGCUCUUUGUGGUGGGGUUGACGGUAGCGGGUUAUGAAGCGCCGGCUAACUACGUG